UACGUAGGGUGCGAGCGUUGUCCGGAAUUAUUGGGCGUAAAGAGCUCGUAGGCGGUCUGUCGCGUCGAUCGUGAAAACUUGGGGCUUAACCCUGAGCUUGCGGUCGAUACGGGCAUGACUGGAGUUCGGCAGGGGAGACUGGAAUUCCUGGUGUAGCGGUGAAAUGCGCAGAUAUCAGGAGGAACACCGGUGGCGAAGGCGGGUCUCUGGGCCGAUACCGACGCUGAGGAGCGAAAGCGUGGGGAGCGAACAGG
This 254-nucleotide ribosomal RNA is filed under the name uncultured bacterium. Its description in RNAcentral is "partial 16S ribosomal RNA". It matches the Rfam family "Bacterial small subunit ribosomal RNA", at positions 524 to 776 of the family's 1533-position model. The record is from RNAcentral.